RNAcentral lists this ribosomal RNA (2917 nucleotides) under Drosophila pseudoobscura pseudoobscura. RNAcentral's name for it is "eukaryotic LSU rRNA". The stretch from base 1 to 2378 matches the Rfam family "Eukaryotic large subunit ribosomal RNA", at positions 343 to 3401 of the family's 3401-position model. Lineage: Eukaryota; Metazoa; Arthropoda; Insecta; Diptera; Drosophilidae. The record is from RNAcentral.
AACAAGUACCGUGAGGGAAAGUUGAAAAGAACUCUGAAUAGAGAGUUAAACAGUACGUGAAACUGCUUAGAGGUUAAGCCCGAUGAACCUGAAUAUCCGUUAUGGAAAAUUCAUCAUUAAAGUUGUAAUAUUUUAACAAUAUUAUAAUAAUAGUGUGCAUUUUUUCCAUAUAAGGACAUUGUAAUCUAUUAGCAUAUAACAAAUUUAUCAUAAAAUAUGACUUAUAGUUUAUUCAAAUUAUUAUGCUUGCAUUUUAACAUAGAAUAAAUGUCAUUAAUUUGAUAAAGUGUUGAUAAAUUAAAAUUAAUACAGUGCGUUAAUUUUUCGAAAUUAUAUAAUGGCAUAAUUAUCAUUGAUUUUUGUGUUUAUUAUAUGCAUUUGUAUGAUUAACAAUGCGAAAGAUUCAGGAUACCUUCGGGACCCGUCUUGAAACACGGACCAAGGAGUCUAACAUAUGUGCAAGUUAUUGGGAGAUAAACCUAAUAGCGUAAUUAACUUGACUAAUAAUGGGAUUAGUUUUUUAACUAUUUAUAGAUAAUUAACACAAUCCCGGGGCGUUCUAUAUAGUUAUGUAUGAUAAUAUUUAUAUUAUUUAUGCCUCUAACUGGAACGUACCUUGAGCAUAUAUGCUGUGACCCGAAAGAUGGUGAACUAUACUUGAUCAGGUUGAAGUCAGGGGAAACCCUGAUGGAAGACCGAAACAGUUCUGACGUGCAAAUCGAUUGUCAGAAUUGAGUAUAGGGCGAAAGACCAAUCGAACCAUCUAGUAGCUGGUUCCUUCCGAAGUUUCCCUCAGGAUAGCUGGUGCAUUUUAAUGUUAUAUAAAAUAAUCUUAUCUGGUAAAGCGAAUGAUUAGAGGCCUUAGGGUCGAAACGAUCUUAACCUAUUCUCAAACUUUAAAUGGGUAAGAACCUUAACUUUCUUGAUAUGAAGUUUAAGGUUAUGAUAUAAUGUGCCCAGUGGGCCACUUUUGGUAAGCAGAACUGGCGCUGUGGAUGAACCAAACGUAAUGUUACGGUGCCCAAAUUAACAACUCAUGCAGAAACCAUGAAAGGCGUUGGUUGCUUAAAACAGCAGGACGGUGAUCAUGGAAGUCGAAAUCCGCUAAGGAGUGUGUAACAACUCACCUGCCGAAGCAACUAGCCCUUAAAAUGGAUGGCGCUUAAGUUGUAUACCUAUACAUUACCGCUAAAGUAGAUGAUUUAUAUUACUUGUGAUAUAAAUUUUGAAACUUUAGUGAGUAGGAAGGUACAAUGGUAUGCGUAGAAGUGUUUGGCGUAAGCCUUCAUGGAGCUGCCAUUGGCACAGAUCUUGGUGGUAGUAGCAAAUAAUCGAAUGAGACCUUGGAGGACUGAAGUGGAGAAGUGGUUUCACGAGUUAGUCGGUCCUAAGUUCAAGGCGAAAGCCGAAAAUUUUCAAGUAAAAAAUCAGUGAGUAAUAUUGUCAAAUCUUUUAUGAUUUUUAAAUACUUGAAUAAUUUUGAACGAAAGGGAAUACGGUUCCAAUUCCGUAACCUGUUGAGUAUCCGUUUGUUAUUAAAUAUGGGCCUCGUGCUCAUCCUGGCAACAGGAACGACCAUAAAGAAGCCGUCGAGAGAUAUCGGAAGAGUUUUCUUUUCUGUUUUAUAGCCGUACUACCAUGGAAGUCUUUCGCAGAGAGAUAUGGUAGAUGGGCUAGAAGAGCAUGACAUAUACUGUUGUGUCGAUAUUUUCUCCUCGGACCUUGAAAAUUUAUGGUGGGGACACGCAAACUUCUCAACAGGCCGUACCAAUAUCCGCAGCUGGUCUCCAAGGUGAAGAGUCUCUAGUCGAUAGAAUAAUGUAGGUAAGGGAAGUCGGCAAAUUAGAUCCGUAACUUCGGGAUAAGGAUUGGCUCUGAAGAUUGAGAUAGUCGGGCUUGAUUGGGAAACAAUAACAUGGUUUAUGUGCUCGUUCUGGGUAAAUAGAGUUUCUAUCAUUUAUGGUAGUUACUUGUUCCCCGGAUAGUUUAGUUACGUAGCCAAUUGUGGAACUUUCUUGCUAAAAUUUUUAAGAAUACUAAUUGGGUUAAACCAGUUAGUUCUUAUUAAUUAUAACGAUUAUCAAUUAACAAUCAAUUCAGAACUGGCACGGACUUGGGAAUCCGACUGUCUAAUUAAAACAAAGCAUUGUGAUGGCCCUAGCGGGUGUUGACACAAUGUGAUUUCUGCCCAGUGCUCUGAAUGUCAAAGUGAAGAAAUUCAAGUAAGCGCGGUCAACGCCGGAGUAACUAUGACUCUCUUAAAAUAUGAAAUAAUAGCGUAGAAGGGGAGUCAUUCCGUAAUUCGUAAAUCGUAAAAAUCAGAUCAAGUUGAUUCAAGACCUCCUCGUGGUAUCUUCUGGAUGCUAUUAGACUGAAGUUCUUUUGGUCUAAUAGUAACUAACUUGAACAGCGAAACAGUCCUAUGGGGUUGCCAGCCCCUUGGACAGUUCAGUUUGAUUGGCACUAAUAUGCAAAAUACAACGCCUCGGAUAAUAAACACUAAUUCGUUGACGAACCAAAUCCCUACGGUCUCUAGCCUAGGGGCCCAAUCUGAACAUAGUGCACAGGUUAACCCAAACAGUGGUUACCAAUGCACGAUAUGUGAAUCGUCUUUCCGUAGCAAAAGCGGACUAGGCGUUCACAUGUCACGUCGGCACAAGGACGAGUUUGAUCAACUUCGUCUGCGUACCGACCGUAAGGCACAAUGGAGUGAGGAAGAGUUGAGUAUGAUGGCAAGAAAAGAGAUCGAGCUCGCAGCAAAUGGAGAAAGAUAUCUAAAUAAGAAGCUAGCGGAAGUAUUUACGAACCGUAGCGUCGACGCUAUCAAGAAAUGUCGACAGAGGGAGAGAUAUAAGACCAAAAUCGAACAGCUAAAGGGUCAAGCUGUUCCUCUCCCAGAAGCAUUAGAAUCUGAAAC